UACAUGGGGUGCAAACGUUGCUCGGAAUUAUUGGGCGUAAAGCGCACGUAGGCGGAUCGUUAAGUCGGGGGGUGAAAUCCUGGAGCUCAACUCCAGAACUGCCUUCGAUACUGGCGAUCUUGAGUCCGGAAGAGGUGAGUGGAACUCCUAGUGUAGAGGUGGAAUUCGUAGAUAUUAGGAAGAACACCAGUGGCGAAGGCGGCUCACUGGUCCGGUACUGACGCUGAGGUGCGAAAGCAUGGGGAGCGAACAGG
This 254-nucleotide ribosomal RNA is filed under the name uncultured bacterium. Its description in RNAcentral is "partial 16S ribosomal RNA". It matches the Rfam family "Bacterial small subunit ribosomal RNA", at positions 524 to 776 of the family's 1533-position model. The record is from RNAcentral.